RNAcentral lists this transfer RNA (64 nucleotides) under Rhyacophila kando. Its description in RNAcentral is "tRNA-Thr". The record is from RNAcentral. Lineage: Eukaryota; Metazoa; Arthropoda; Insecta; Trichoptera; Rhyacophilidae.
GUCUUAAUAGUUUAAAUAAAACAUUGAUCUUGUAAAUCAAAAAUAAUUAUUAUAUUUUAAAACU